CCUACGGGAGGCAGCAGUGAGGAAUAUUGGUCAAUGGACGAGAGUCUGAACCAGCCAAGUAGCGUGAAGGAUGACUGCCCUAUGGGUUGUAAACUUCUUUUAUAUGGGAAUAAAAUGUUCCACGUGUGGGAUUUUGUAUGUACCAUAUGAAUAAGGAUCGACUAACUCCGUGCCAGCAGCCGCGGUAAUACGGAGGAUCCGAGCGUUAUCCGGUUUUAUUGGGUUUAAAGGGAGCGUAGGUGGAUUGUUAAGUCAGUUGUGAAAGUUUGCGGCUCAACCGUAAAAUUGCAGUUGAAACUGGCAGUCUUGAGUACAGUAGAGGUGGGCGGAAUUCGUGGUGUAGCGGUGAAAUGCGUAGAUAUCACGAAGAACUCCGAUUGCGAAGGCAGUUCACUGGACUGCAACUGACACUGAGGCUCGAAAGUGUGGGUAUCAAACAGGAUUAGAUACCCUGGUAGUC
Molecule: ribosomal RNA, 460 nt
Filed under: uncultured bacterium
Lineage: Bacteria
Description: partial 16S ribosomal RNA
Rfam family: Bacterial small subunit ribosomal RNA
Source: RNAcentral